CGGACGGGUGAGUAAUGUCUGGGAAACUGCCUGAUGGAGGGGGAUAACUACUGGAAACGGUAGCUAAUACCGCAUAACGUCUCCGGACCAAAGUGGGGGACCUUCGGGCCUCACACCAUCGGAUGUGCCCAGAUGGGAUUAGCUUGUAGGUGGGGUAAUGGCUCACCUAGGCGACGAUCCCUAGCUGGUCUGAGAGGAUGACCAGCCACACUGGAACUGAGACACGGUCCAG
RNAcentral lists this ribosomal RNA (232 nucleotides) under uncultured Enterobacterales bacterium. RNAcentral describes it as "partial 16S ribosomal RNA". It matches the Rfam family "Bacterial small subunit ribosomal RNA", at positions 99 to 334 of the family's 1533-position model. The record is from RNAcentral. Lineage: Bacteria; Pseudomonadati; Pseudomonadota; Gammaproteobacteria; Enterobacterales.